Molecule: ribosomal RNA, 520 nt
Filed under: uncultured Glomus
Lineage: Eukaryota; Fungi; Glomeromycota; Glomeromycetes; Glomerales; Glomeraceae
Description: SSU rRNA
Rfam family: Eukaryotic small subunit ribosomal RNA
Source: RNAcentral
AGCAGCCACGGUAAUUCCAGCUCCAAUAGCGUAUAUUAAAGUUGCUGCAGUUAAAAAGCUCGUAGUUGAAUUUCGGGACCAUCAUGUCGGUCGUGCCUCGGUACGUACUGGCAUUGUUGGUUUCUUCCUUCUGACGAACCAUGAUGUCAUUUAUUUGGUGUCGUGGGAAAUCAGGACUGUUACUUUGAAAAAAUUAGAGUGUUUAAAGCAGGCUCACGCUUGAAUACAUUAGCAUGGAAUAAUGAAAUAGGAUGUUUGAUUCUAUUUUGUUGGUUUUUAGGAUCGACGUAAUGAUUAAUAGGGAUAGUUGGGGGCAUUAGUAUUCAAUUGUCAGAGGUGAAAUUCUUGGAUUUAUUGAAGACUAACUACUGCAAAAGCAUUUGCCAAGGAUGUUUUCAUUAAUCAAGAACGAAAGUUAGGGAUCGAAGACGAUCAGAUACCGUCGUAGUCUUAACCAUAAACUAUGCCGACUAGGAAUCAGAUGAUGUUAAUUUUUUAAUGACUCAUUCGGCGCCUUACG